Molecule: ribosomal RNA, 253 nt
Filed under: uncultured bacterium
Lineage: Bacteria
Description: partial 16S ribosomal RNA
Rfam family: Bacterial small subunit ribosomal RNA
Source: RNAcentral
CACGUAGGGCGCAAGCGUUGUCCGGAAUUAUUGGGCGUAAAGAGCUCGUAGGCGGUCUGUUGCGUCCGCUGUGAAAACUCGGGGCUUAACCCCGAGCCUGCAGUGGAUACGGGCAGACUAGAGGUAGGUAGGGGAGAAUGGAAUUCCCGGUGUAGCGGUGGAAUGCGUAGAGAUCCGGAAGAACACCGGUGGCGAAGGCGGUCUGCUGGGCAGUUGCUGACACUGAGGCGCGACAGCGUGGGGAGCAAACAGG